This 492-nucleotide ribosomal RNA is filed under the name uncultured bacterium. Its description in RNAcentral is "partial 16S ribosomal RNA". It matches the Rfam family "Bacterial small subunit ribosomal RNA", at positions 29 to 507 of the family's 1533-position model. The record is from RNAcentral.
AGUGAACGCUGGCGGUAGGCCUAACACAUGCAAGUCGAACGGCAGCACAGUAAGAGCUUGCUCUUACGGGUGGCGAGUGGCGGACGGGUGAGGAAUACAUCGGAAUCUACUUUUUCGUGGGGGAUAACGUAGGGAAACUUACGCUAAUACCGCAUACGACCUACGGGUGAAAGCAGGGGAUCUUCGGACCUUGCGCGAUUGAAUGAGCCGAUGUCGGAUUAGCUAGUUGGCGGGGUAAAGGCCCACCAAGGCGACGACCCGUAGCUGGUCUGAGAGGAUGAUCAGCCACACUGGAACUGAGACACGGUCCAGACUCCUACGGGAGGCAGCAGUGGGGAAUAUUGGACAAUGGGCGCAAGCCUGAUCCAGCCAUACCGCGUGGGUGAAGAAGGCCUUCGGGUUGUAAAGCCCUUUUGUUGGGAAGGAAAAGCAGCAGGUUAAUACCCCGCUGUUCUGACGGUACCCAAAGAAUAAGCACCGGCUAACUUCGUG